CCUACGGGAGGCAGCAGUGAGGAAUAUUGGUCAAUGGACGAGAGUCUGAACCAGCCAAGUAGCGUGAAGGAUGACUGCCCUAUGGGUUGUAAACUUCUUUUAUAUGGGAAUAAAAUGUUCCACGUGUGGGAUUUUGUAUGUACCAUAUGAAUAAGGAUCGGCUAACUCCGUGCCAGCAGCCGCGGUAAUACGGAGGAUCCGAGCGUUAUCCGGAUUUAUUGGGUUUAAAGGGAGCGUAGGUGGAUUGUUAAGUCAGUUGUGAAAGUUUGCGGCUCAACCGUAAAAUUGCAGUUGAAACUGGCAGUCUUGAGGACAGUAGAGGUGGGCGGAAUUCGUGGUGUAGCGGUGAAAUGCUUAGAUAUCACGAAGAACUCCGAUUGCGAAGGCAGUUCACUGGACUGCAACUGACACUGAGGCUCGAAAGUGUGGGUAUCAAACAGGAUUCGAUACCCCUGUAGUC
This 460-nucleotide ribosomal RNA is filed under the name uncultured bacterium. RNAcentral's name for it is "partial 16S ribosomal RNA". It matches the Rfam family "Bacterial small subunit ribosomal RNA", at positions 338 to 795 of the family's 1533-position model. The record is from RNAcentral.